GCGGGCGUGGCGAAAUUGGUAAACGCAAGGGACUUAAAAUCCCUCGACCGUAUGGUCUUGCCGGUUCAAGCCCGGCCGCCCGCACCA
This 87-nucleotide transfer RNA is filed under the name Henriciella barbarensis. RNAcentral describes it as "tRNA-Leu". It matches the Rfam family "tRNA". From Rfam's summary of the family: Transfer RNA (tRNA) molecules are approximately 80 nucleotides in length. Their secondary structure includes four short double-helical elements and three loops (D, anti-codon, and T loops). Further hydrogen bonds mediate the characteristic L-shaped molecular structure. tRNAs have two regions of fundamental functional importance: the anti-codon, which is responsible for specific mRNA codon recognition, and the 3' end, to which the tRNAs corresponding amino acid is attached (by aminoacyl-tRNA synthetases). tRNAs cope with the degeneracy of the genetic code in two manners: having more than one tRNA (with a specific anti-codon) for a particular amino acid; and 'wobble' base-pairing, i.e. permitting non-standard base-pairing at the 3rd anti-codon position. The record is from RNAcentral. RNAcentral also lists the same sequence under 3 other names. Lineage: Bacteria; Pseudomonadati; Pseudomonadota; Alphaproteobacteria; Hyphomonadales; Hyphomonadaceae.